Molecule: non-coding RNA, 83 nt
Organism: Ctenocephalides felis (cat flea)
Lineage: Eukaryota; Metazoa; Arthropoda; Insecta; Siphonaptera; Pulicidae
Source: the annotation of a RefSeq genome assembly
GUCAGGAUGGCCGAGCGGUCUAAGGCGCCAGACUUAAGUUCUGGUUCUCUGUGAGGGCGUGGGUUCGAGUCCCACUUCCGACA